UGGGGAAUAUUGGACAAUGGGGGCAACCCUGAUCCAGCCAUGCCGCGUGUGUGAAGAAGGCCUUUUGGUUGUAAAGCACUUUAAGCAGGGAGGAGAGGCUAAUGGUUAAUACCCAUUAGAUUAGACGUUACCUGCAGAAUAAGCACCGGCUAACUCUGUGCCAGCAGCCGCGGUAAUACAGAGGGUGCGAGCGUUAAUCGGAAUUACUGGGCGUAAAGCGAGUGUAGGUGGCUCAUUAAGUCACAUGUGAAAUCCCCGGGCUUAACCUGGGAACUGCAUGUGAUACUGGUGGUGCUAGAAUAUGUGAGAGGGAAGUAGAAUUCCCAGGUGUAGCGGUGAAAUGCGUAGAGAUCUGGAGGAAUACCGAUGGCGAAGGCAGCUUCCUGGCAUAAUAUUGACACUGAGAUUCGAAAGCGUGGGUAGCAAACAGGAUUAGAUACCCUGGUAGUCCACGCCGUAAACGAUGUCUACUAGCCGUUGGGGUCCUUGAGACUUUAGUGGCGCAGUUAACGCGAUAAGU
This 520-nucleotide ribosomal RNA is filed under the name uncultured bacterium. RNAcentral's name for it is "partial 16S ribosomal RNA". It matches the Rfam family "Bacterial small subunit ribosomal RNA", at positions 355 to 865 of the family's 1533-position model. The record is from RNAcentral.